RNAcentral lists this long non-coding RNA (1576 nucleotides) under Macaca nemestrina (pig-tailed macaque). RNAcentral's name for it is "lncRNA (ENSMNEG00000045977.1)". Lineage: Eukaryota; Metazoa; Chordata; Mammalia; Primates; Cercopithecidae. The record is from RNAcentral.
UUCAGGGUGAAGUGGAGAUAGAACCCUCAAGGAGCUAUGCUCGGGAUGAACAGUGUCUGCUGUCAUUGUAGUGAAGGGAGCACUUCAGGGCGCCCGUGAACUGUCCCGUACUGUCCAGCGCAGGGGGUCAAUGCAGGCCCCACUCUGUGAAUCCAGACCGAGUCUGCUUGGCCCCAAGAAUUUCCAGGUUGGCCCCAAGUGAAUGCCACCUGGCUGUAAGCAUGGUCACACUCUGCCACAGAGCGGAAUUGCAGGAUUCUGAUAAACCUCAGGAAGGAAAACAAAAAGAUGCCUUAGUUCCAUGGAAGGCUGCUCUGAGGUGUAUUCUGCUAAGUGGAGUCCAGACAGAACACGGAGAAGCUCCUUGAUUGCAUCUCUCCCCUGCCUUACUGUUUUCUGCUGCUCUUGACACUCCACUGUUCCGGCUAUUGCAAGGUUAGAAGGAUGCUCAUGACCAAUGGGACAGAGUCUUUUGCAUAUGGCCUUGAGGAUGAGUGCUUCUGAAAUCUGACAAGUAAGUAAUAAACAGGCAGUUCUUAGAGCAAGAGGCUAAGACUCCUGCUUCACUCGGAGGGAACACAAAGCUUUGCAGGGGUGGGUUACAGGUUUCCACAUCGUGAGGCAAACAUCACCUUUUACCAAGAAAAUGUCCUGGUAUUUCCUCCUAUAUUCAAUAGAGUAUAUUGAUUUAAGGUUUUAUAGGACUGCAUAAUUAUGUUUUAUCACAAAGAAAAAAUUGAAGUCAUAAUAAAAUAGUUAAAAUACACACGUUGGCUGAAAGUGGUGGCUCAGGCCUAUAAUCUCAGCACUUUGGGAAGCUGAGGUGGGAGGAUCACUUGAGACCAGAAGGUUGAGACCAGCCUGGGCAACAUGGCAAGACCCCCAUGUCUACAAAAAAUUUUAAAAACUAGCUGGGCGUGGUGGUGCACACCUGUAGUUCCAGCUACUUAGGAGGCUGAGGCAGAAGGAUCACUUGAACCCAGGAGGUUGAAGCUGUAGUGAGCCACGGUUGCACAACUGCACUCCAGCCUGGGUAACAGAGCAAAAUCCUAUCUCAAAAAAAGAAACAGACAGACAAAUACAUACUCUGUACUUUCUGCCCAGUUUUGCUGUGAACCUAAAACUGCUCUACACAAUAAAGUAUAUUAAAAAAAAAAAAACAGAAUUUCUUAAAUACUUAUGAUUAUAAAACGUAAUCAUAAGUAACAUACUAGGCAUAGUGAGUUUAAACUUCUCUCCAAAUUGGUCAAACAUGUGUUCUCUACAUUUAGGGAAAGUAACACGUAAGCGUUUACACACACACACAUGCCAAUAACAUACUGGUUCAAGGAAGCACCACAUUUAAGUGCUUUAAGUGUUUCUUUAUGAUAAAACUUGACAAAUGAGAGGAAUGAUGGGAAUUACAGAAAGGAUGGCAGGCGAGUAGGGUAAAAUGCUUUUGAUCUGGGAAAUGUGCAGCACCUCUUGGUUAAUUAGACCAUAGAAAGAGCUGUGAAACGGGCACCCUAUUGCUUAACACCCUGUGGCACAGACUCAUUAGCUUUGUGAAUUUCCUUGGAUUGAUUGUUAGAGCUAU